Molecule: transfer RNA, 69 nt
Filed under: Ictidomys tridecemlineatus (thirteen-lined ground squirrel)
Lineage: Eukaryota; Metazoa; Chordata; Mammalia; Rodentia; Sciuridae
Description: Spermophilus tridecemlineatus (thirteen-lined ground squirrel) tRNA
Rfam family: tRNA
About the family: Transfer RNA (tRNA) molecules are approximately 80 nucleotides in length. Their secondary structure includes four short double-helical elements and three loops (D, anti-codon, and T loops). Further hydrogen bonds mediate the characteristic L-shaped molecular structure. tRNAs have two regions of fundamental functional importance: the anti-codon, which is responsible for specific mRNA codon recognition, and the 3' end, to which the tRNAs corresponding amino acid is attached (by aminoacyl-tRNA synthetases). tRNAs cope with the degeneracy of the genetic code in two manners: having more than one tRNA (with a specific anti-codon) for a particular amino acid; and 'wobble' base-pairing, i.e. permitting non-standard base-pairing at the 3rd anti-codon position.
Source: Rfam by way of RNAcentral
GGGGUUGUAGCUCAGUAGUAGAGUGCUUGUCUUGCAUGUAAGAGGCACUGGGUUUGAUCUUCAGCACCA